GAUGAACGCUGGCGGCGUGCCUAAUACAUGCAAGUCGAGCGGUAAGGCCUCUCCGGAGGUACACGAGCGGCGGACGGCUGAGUAACACGUAGGAACGUACCCCAAAGUGAGGAAUAAGCACCAGAAAUGGUGUCUAAUACCGCAUGUGCUCUAAGGAGUAAAGCUUCGGCGCUUUGGGAACGGCCUGCGCAUGAUUAGCUUGUUGGUGAGGUAAAAGCUCACCAAGGCGACGAUCAUUAGCUGGUCUGAGAGGAUGAUCAGCCAGACUGGGACUGAGACACGGCCCAGACUCCUACGGGAGGCAGCAGUAGGGAAUUUUACACAAUGGGCGAAAGCCUGAUGGAGCAACGCCGCGUGCAGGAUGAAUGCCUUCGGGUUGUAAACUGCUUUCAUAUGUGACGAUUAUGACGGUAGCAUAUGAAUAAGGAUCGGCUAACUCCGUGCCAGCCGCCGCCGUAA
Molecule: ribosomal RNA, 459 nt
Filed under: uncultured bacterium
Lineage: Bacteria
Description: partial 16S ribosomal RNA
Rfam family: Bacterial small subunit ribosomal RNA
Source: RNAcentral